UAUUGGGCGUAAAGAGCUCGUAGGCGGUUUGUUGCGUCGGCUGUGAAAACCUGAGGCUCAACCUCAGGCCUGCAGUCGAUACGAGCAGACUAGAGUGUUGCAGGGGAGACUGGAAUUCCUGGUGUAGCGGUGAAAUGCGCAGAUAUCAGGAGGAACACCGGUGGCGAAGGCGGGUCUCUGGGCAACAACUGACGCUGAGGAGCGAAAGCGUGGGGAGCGAACAGGAUUAGAUACCCUGGUAGUCCACGCCGUAAACGUUGGGCGCUAGGUGUGGGGCUCAUUCCACGAGUUCCGUGCCGCAGCUAACGCAUUAAGCGCCCCGCCUGGGGAGUACGGCCGCAAGGCUAAAACUCAAAGGAAUUGACGGGGGCCCGCACAAGCGGCGGAGCAUGUUGCUUAAUUCGAAUGCAAGGGGAAAAAACCUUUCUAAGGGUGACAAUGGUGCGGGGAAAUCCUCCAGAGAUGUUGGGUCCGUAAGGGCCGUGCACAGGUGGUGCAUGGUUGUAGUCAGCUCGUGUCGUGAGAUGUUGGUUUAAGUCCCGCAACGAGCGCAACCCUCGUUCUAUGUUGCCAGCACGUGAUGGUGGGGACUCAUAGGAGACUGCCGGGGUCAACUCGGAGGAAGAUGGGGAUGACGAUCAUCAUCUUCAUACGCCCUAUAUGUAUAGGGGCGCACACAGUGAUACAAUGGCCGGUACAAAGGGUUGCGAUACCGCGAGGUGGAGCGAAUCCCAAAAAGCCGGUCUCAGUUCGGAUUGGGGUCUGCAACUCGACCCCAUGAAGUUGGAGUCGCUGGUAA
This 799-nucleotide ribosomal RNA is filed under the name uncultured bacterium. RNAcentral's name for it is "bacterial SSU rRNA". It matches the Rfam family "Bacterial small subunit ribosomal RNA", at positions 552 to 1341 of the family's 1533-position model. The record is from RNAcentral.